RNAcentral lists this unclassified non-coding RNA (604 nucleotides) under Biostraticola tofi. RNAcentral describes it as "16S-23S ribosomal RNA intergenic spacer". The stretch from base 166 to 238 matches the Rfam family "tRNA". Lineage: Bacteria; Pseudomonadati; Pseudomonadota; Gammaproteobacteria; Enterobacterales; Bruguierivoracaceae. The record is from RNAcentral.
CCACAACGAUACGCAUUGUGACGUGUCCACACAGAUUGUCUGAUAACUGUACUGAGCAACGCAGCCGAGCAGGCGGUUCGCCGUUGGCCUGAUACCCCGGUAUCACCCGACCGAGCCCACCCUGAAUCGCGCUGCGGCGAAACGCCUUAUGAAGACGCACUCUCUGUCCCCUUCGUCUAGUGGCCUAGGACACUGCCCUUUCACGGCGGUAACAGGGGUUCGAACCCCCUAGGGGACGCCACUUCGCUUCAUGAUUUCAGAGCAUACUCUCGCGAGUGUGCUGCGAAAUACCGCUCUUUAACAAUCCGGAACAAGCUGAAAAUUUGAAAUAGAAACAUGCUGAGCAAAAUCAGUAUGCGAGUCUCUCAAACGAAUAAAGCAAACCUAAAUGACCGUCCCUGUCGAGGGGCCUGGUCACUGUCGCCCCGGCCGAUGCCUGUUUACAGACAUCACCGAGGCAGACUGAGCGAACGGCUGAAAGCCAAGGCGCCCAGCACGGAGAAACCGCAGUGGACUGUACGUCCAUGAGGAUUUCGAGUACUGCGUAACGCGGGAUUUCAGGCGUGCAGCCAGUCGGUAAUAGACAGACACUUUAGGGUUGUGA